Carassius gibelio (silver crucian carp) is the source of this 2419-nucleotide long non-coding RNA. RefSeq lists it as uncharacterized. The transcript has 3 exons. The record is from RefSeq and is a predicted model, not a curated record. NCBI's taxonomy places the organism in Eukaryota, Metazoa, Chordata, Actinopteri, Cypriniformes, Cyprinidae.
UUGGGCAAGCAGCGGAAACAGCUCUUAAAUGCGGAGUUCAGGUGUUUCUGACACGUUUCUUGUAAAAAGCUUUGUUUUUGAGACUUCUCUUGUCUCAAGAGCUGAAGUGAAGUCUCUAUGGAUUUGACGUUUCGUCUGUCUGAAGUUUACCAGUCAUCAUCUGCUUUUGCCUCAGACUGACGGUGAUCCUGAUGACCCUGAAUUCUGAAUAGUCCAGCACCUUCAUUCUUGUGCAGUUUUUUGAAGGUCGUACUGUUUUGGCACAGGAGCACUCAUCUGGAUGCCUCGUCUCAGCAGGGCGACCCACAGAAAUACCUCCAUAAUAAUGGAAGCAAUGAUUGUUCACAAACAAUCAUCUGGAAGGCAGCCUGGCUGAUAAGAGAGACGACUUUAGCAAGGAGAUGGGUUAUGAACAUGGCAAUGAGAGGUGCUAGAUCUGAAAUAGGAAAGGCAGAGGCUCUACAACCUGUAAUCCUUGAGAGAGCUAAAGCCCUCGGCAGUCAAUGAGAGUGGCAAUCACUGAUGGAUCACCUUCUGACCCACCAGUCAUGGUGUAAAUGGGGGCAGCGGCAUUUCUCAGUGUGGUUUGUGUAAAGUUAAAUGUGGGUUGCUUGUCACCUGAUGGUGUAGAUUUGUGGCUGAAAAUACAGAGGGCAUGGGGUCAAUAUUUGGAAAGGGCGAACUAAAAAUGGUGUUUUAUCAACCUAGCCUUUCAAAGAACCAGUUAGACAGCUUAUUACCCAGGAUACUGUGGGUCAGGAAUGGAGAUGUGGUAGCUUUGCAGUUAAGGAUCUGUGCUCCAAACACUGUGGUUAGGUACUUUUUAGCUUUUUCUUUUCCAGAGAUUUGUCAGUAAAAUGUUGUAAUGCUUGGUCAUUUUCAAUCUGACAUUGAUAUCACAAGAAUGUCUGAGGGGAGAGCUCUGUUCGGGUUUGCCAAAUGUUGUGUUGAGGGUCUUUUUUUUUUAUUAUUAUUAUUAUUAUAUUUUUUUUAUAUGCUUUGUGUGCAGAAUAUAUCAGACAGUGAGUAGCCUGUAGAUGCUCUGUGGAAAAUGCUGUUUGAGACUAAAAUUAUGAUAUCCCAAAUAUCCAUAUGGACUGCAGUGUGUGAACUUGACUUUGGAAGCAUACAAGAAACUACUGGUUAAAACUAACUUUUUUUUCACCAGCAAAGGUAGAGAAUAAUUCAAUUAUCAUUAUUUACGAUUUACAAUUACAUUAAUAAGCUCAUUUUAACAUUGAUUCAUGUGGCCAGUUGACUGUAGUGAGAGCAUCAAUCUGUAAAUCAGGAUUGGAAACUUGAGUCAAGUGCAUCAUCACUGCCUUCCAAUAUUUCAUUUUAAAAAGACUUUUCCAGACAGGUAAUUAAGAGUUCCGCUUGGCGCCAGGAAUGGAUAUGGCUCCAUAAAUGAUUUGAGUUGAUGUUGGACAGGAAUUUAACUGAUUGAAAUGCACUGCUCUUCGUCACUCCUGGAGACACCGCUGGAAUUAGAAAGAGUUUAUGUUGUCUGCUUUGUGUUUUGUUGAGUUAAAAAAGAAGACAGAGAGAUAUGCUGUUCAAAAUGAAGACAAAAAAAUGUUGUGACACUGUGGUUCACAAAUGUUAGUAGAAUAUGUGCAUAUGUGAUGAACUACACCUGUGGUUACUCUGUAGGGCCUCUGUAUGAACUAAAAAUCACCAAAAUACUAGUCUUUUGGAAAAAUGGCUACGAGAAGUGAAGUUAGAAACUAAUAUAAUUUGUGUGCAAAUAAAACUGGGUUUGAUAUUUUGCUAUCUAAAGCAAUGAAAUUCAUACAUUUUAAGUGUGGCUUAAAAGUCCCAGUACUUUUUGGGGCCACUGUAAAUUGUUGCAGUUCAGUUGUGUGUAUUUGGUUUGGAGUGUGUGUUCUGCAAGCCUGUGUCUUUUCCAGCUAAAUGUGUAUUUUUUCCAUUACUAUGAAACAAAGCAUUCACUAAUAGGCAGAAAAACCCAUAAAGCAAAGUAAAGUGUUGAGGAAAUACAUUGAUGUUAUCUUCUUUAAAAACAAUAAGACGGCAGCAUAUUUGGUAUGAAUGCAGAGAGGGAGGGGCGGGCUUUAAAAGUGUUUUUGUGACUUGUUGAUAAGGCAUCUGUCACUCAGGUUGACAGACAGCUCUGGGAUGUAACUGUAAAUCUGUGUGUGUGUGUUUAUUGGAAAGAAAAUGGCUUUGAAUGACUUGUUUUAUCUGGCGGCUUAUAUCCUGCUCAUUUUCACUAUGGAGUCUCCUCAGCUCUAUCACUCCAUCUCUCUCUCUUUUUAAAUAGCUUUGUCUGGGAUGAAUGAAAGAGCAUUUAUCUCUCUCAUUUUUUGCCUUUUCUCCCGGGGUCCUGGGCUGAUUAGCUUAUGAACUGUGAGUGACAUUUGAGUGUUUGAUAUUGAGGCCUUUGUGCACUUCUGUG